UUUCCCUCAGGAUAGCUGGCACUCGCUUGAGCGAGUCUCAUCUGGUAAAGCGAAUGAUUAGAGGCCUUGGGGCCGAAACGACCUCAACCUAUUCUCAAACUUUAAAUGGGUGAGAUCUCUGGCUUGCUUGAACGUUGAAGCCACGAGAUCAUUUUGACUAUGGAUCAGAGUGCCAAGUGGGCCAAUUUUGGUAAGCAGAACUGGCGCUGUGGGA
This 214-nucleotide ribosomal RNA is filed under the name Eulophus sp. D1619. Its description in RNAcentral is "partial 28S ribosomal RNA". It matches the Rfam family "Eukaryotic large subunit ribosomal RNA", at positions 967 to 1163 of the family's 3401-position model. Lineage: Eukaryota; Metazoa; Arthropoda; Insecta; Hymenoptera; Eulophidae. The record is from RNAcentral.